This 465-nucleotide ribosomal RNA is filed under the name uncultured Klebsiella sp. RNAcentral describes it as "bacterial SSU rRNA". It matches the Rfam family "Bacterial small subunit ribosomal RNA", at positions 338 to 795 of the family's 1533-position model. Lineage: Bacteria; Pseudomonadati; Pseudomonadota; Gammaproteobacteria; Enterobacterales; Enterobacteriaceae. The record is from RNAcentral.
CCUACGGGAGGCUGCAGUGGGGAAUAUUGCACAAUGGGCGCAAGCCUGAUGCAGCCAUGCCGCGUGUGUGAAGAAGGCCUUCGGGUUGUAAAGCACUUUCAGCGGGGAGGAAGGCGGUGAGGUUAAUAACCUCAUCGAUUGACGUUACCCGCAGAAGAAGCACCGGCUAACUCCGUGCCAGCAGCCGCGGUAAUACGGAGGGUGCAAGCGUUAAUCGGAGUUACUGGGCGUAAAGCGCACGCAGGCGGUCUGUCAAGUCGGAUGUGAAAUCCCCGGGCUCAACCUGGGAACUGCAUUCGAAACUGGCAGGCUAGAGUCUUGUAGAGGGGGGUAGAAUUCCAGGUGUAGCGGUGAAAUGCGUAGAGAUCUGGAGGAAUACCGGUGGCGAAGGCGGCCCCCUGGACAAAGACUGACGCUCAGGUGCGAAAGCGCGGGGAGCAAACAGGAUUAGAUACCCGAGUAGUC